Non-coding RNA from Oreochromis niloticus (Nile tilapia), 114 nucleotides. Lineage: Eukaryota; Metazoa; Chordata; Actinopteri; Cichliformes; Cichlidae. The record is from Rfam.
CUGGGAUAUGGGGAUAUGUAUCCUGAAACAUGGUCAGGAAUGCUCGUGGGUGCCCUCUGCGCCUUGGCUGGGGUGCUGACAAUUGCCAUGCCAGUGCCUGUCAUCGUCAAUAAC